AUGCUUGUUAUGUCAUAUGUCAUGACUGUGUUGUUAAUGUGUGUCAUACCAUUUCAUCUCAUUCAACCAGGGUCUACCAGGGCGAAAUGGCUAUCCGGGUCCGAUUGGUAUGGAUGGAAAGCUGGGUCAGCCUGGUCCUCAACUAAGCAGAUGUCAUUACUGCAAAUAAGCGGAUUCUUUGCUUUGUGGAGAAGAAAGCACAAAAUUGGCAACUCAGAGGCAGGUGAUGCUGGACUAUCAGUUGCACCAAGAAAAGGAAGCACCCCACAUACUUUAAAAAGGCUGAGGUGAGUAAGUUCCAGACAUCAACGAGCCAAAUUCUUGGAGUAUUGGAUAUUGUGCUCAACUUCCAACAUGUUUUUUUACUUUCUUUUCCCACCCUUUUGCCAGGAUUUGCAAAGGAGCCUCUAAUGGCAGAUUAAUGACUUCCCUAUAGUACCCUGCUAAGUGAAUUUAGCUUGGGAAAAUACAGACUUGUUAGAGCUGUGUUCAUUGAAUGUCAGAUGGCAAAAGUGGAGGCCAGGCUCCCAUCCCAACUGUGCUAUGGUGUUCUUUUACCUACUCUGAUAAGCAUACUUUAAAGUUACAAUUUCGGUAACUAUGCCUGGAAAUGUUGCGCUGAAAUAGCA
Molecule: long non-coding RNA, 629 nt
Filed under: Anser brachyrhynchus (Pink-footed goose)
Lineage: Eukaryota; Metazoa; Chordata; Aves; Anseriformes; Anatidae
Description: lncRNA (ENSABRG00000007502.1)
Source: RNAcentral